CUGGGUGUAGCUCAGUGGUACAGCAUUCGCCUAUCAAGUGUUGAGGCCCUGGGUUCACUCCCCAGCACCAAGA
RNAcentral lists this transfer RNA (73 nucleotides) under Heterocephalus glaber (naked mole-rat). It matches the Rfam family "tRNA". From Rfam's summary of the family: Transfer RNA (tRNA) molecules are approximately 80 nucleotides in length. The record is from Rfam by way of RNAcentral. Lineage: Eukaryota; Metazoa; Chordata; Mammalia; Rodentia; Bathyergidae.